UACAGAGGGUGCGAGUGUUGUUCGGAAUUAUUGGGCGUAAAGGGCUCGUAGGCGGUUUGUCGCGUCGGGAGUGAAAACUCAGGGCUUAACCCUGAGCCUGCUUCCGAUACGGGCAGACUAGAGUGUGGUAGGGGAGACUGGAAUUCCUGGUGUAGCGGUGAAAUGCGCAGAUAUCAGGAGGAACACCGGUGGCGAAGGCGGGUCUCUGGGCCAUAACUGACGCUGAGGAGCGAAAGCGUGGGGAGCGAACAGG
This 253-nucleotide ribosomal RNA is filed under the name uncultured bacterium. RNAcentral describes it as "partial 16S ribosomal RNA". It matches the Rfam family "Bacterial small subunit ribosomal RNA", at positions 524 to 776 of the family's 1533-position model. The record is from RNAcentral.